RNAcentral lists this ribosomal RNA (258 nucleotides) under uncultured bacterium. RNAcentral describes it as "partial 16S ribosomal RNA". It matches the Rfam family "Bacterial small subunit ribosomal RNA", at positions 526 to 779 of the family's 1533-position model. The record is from RNAcentral.
CGGAGGGGCGUAGCGUUGUUCGGAAUUACUGGGGCGUAAAGACGCACGUAGGCGGACUGGAAAGUCAGAGGUGAAAUCCCAGGGCUCAACCUUGGAACUGCCUUUGAAACUAUCAGUCUGGAGUUCGAGAGAGGUGAGUGGAAUUCCGAGUGUAGAGGUGAAAUUCGUAGAUAUUCGGAGGAACACCAGUGGCGAAGGCGGCUCACUGGCUCGAUACUGACGCUGAGGUGCGAAAGACGUGGGGAGCGAAACAGGAUU